This 403-nucleotide ribosomal RNA is filed under the name uncultured bacterium. Its description in RNAcentral is "partial 16S ribosomal RNA". It matches the Rfam family "Bacterial small subunit ribosomal RNA", at positions 28 to 526 of the family's 1533-position model. The record is from RNAcentral.
GACGAACGCUGGCGGCGUGCCUAAUACAUGCAAGUCGAACGCAGUGGGGACGGGUGAGUAACACGUGGGUAACCUCCCAUCAGAGGGGAUAACACUUGGAAACAGGUGCUAAACCGAUACUGAUGGAUGGACACGCGGUGCAUUAGCUAGUUGGUGGGGUAACGGCUCACCAGGGCCACGAUGCAUAGCCGACCUGGGAGGUUGACGGGCCACACUGUGACUGAGACACGCCCCAGCUUCCGACGGUAGGCAGCAGUAGGGAAUCUUCGUCAAUGGACGAAAGUCUGACCGAGCAACGCCGCGUGAGUGAAGAAGGUUUUCGGAUCGUAAAACUCUGUUGUUAGGGAAGCGGUAUCUAACCAGAAAGCAACGGCUAACUACGUGCCAGCAGCCGCGGUAAUAC